CCUACGGGGGGCAGCAGUGGGGAAUAUUGCGCAAUGGGCGAAAGCCUGACGCAGCGACGCCGCGUGAGGGAUGAAGGUCUUCGGAUCGUAAACCUCUGUCAGCAGGGAAGAAAGGUCACUGUGCUAAUCAGCAGUGAAUUGACGUUACCUGCAAAGGAAGCACCGGCUAACUCCGUGCCAGCAGCCGCGGUAAUACGGAGGGUGCGAGCGUUAAUCGGAAUUACUGGGCGUAAAGCGCUCGUAGGCGGUAUGUCAAGUCAAGGGGGAAAUCCCCGCGCUAAACGUGGGAACUGCCUUUGAAACUGGCAAACUGGAGUGUGUGCGAGGAUAGUGGAAUUCCAGGUGUAGGAGUGAAAUCCGUAGAUAUCUGGAGGAACAUCAGUGGCGAAGGCGACUAUCUGGCACAUAACUGACGCUGAGGAGCGAAAGCGUGGGUAGCAAACAGGAUUAGAUACCCCAGUAGUC
This 465-nucleotide ribosomal RNA is filed under the name uncultured bacterium. RNAcentral describes it as "partial 16S ribosomal RNA". It matches the Rfam family "Bacterial small subunit ribosomal RNA", at positions 338 to 795 of the family's 1533-position model. The record is from RNAcentral.